GCCAGCCAGGAAGGAGGAGGCAGCCAGAGUGGCCACCACUGUUCUUUACAGCAGAAGACCCCCUGCUGCCAGUGACUGCUCUCAGGAGGUUUAUAACAGUGAUUAAAGCCCUGUUAAUUGUUGCAUGCAUUUCUGGAUUGCUUCAAAGUCAUCGUGAUCAAAGAGUGGAUGGGAGGAAGACUUAGGCAGAGAAGCUAAGAAGUAGGAAUCCUCAAUGCUCAGUAAAGAGUUCGGGAAGGAGGGAAGAGAGAUGUUGGUUGAAAGAAUUCAGGUUGACGUAUACAGACUGUAGUGAGAAUCAUUGUAUUUUCUUUACUUGAUUAUUUUCUUUUCUUUUUUUCUGUUUUCUUAUGUCUCUUGUUUGUAUUUCUGAUAAAACAAUAAAUAUAUUUAUUAAAAGAAGAAGAAGAAGAAGAAGAAGAAGAAGAAGAAGAAGAAGAAGAAGAAGAAGAAGAAGAAGAAGAUUUGACCCAGAUCAAUUUGGGUGAUUCUAAUGCCAUUUUGAGGCCCAUUUUGCUGGGGAAACAGGCCUCAAAAUGGCACUUUUUUUUCCUGGGGAGAGCUGGUCUACCAAUUGUUCUAUGGCAGGUAGACCAGCCCUCUACUCCAGACUUGGGGCAUCAGCCUGCCUCAGAGGACAUGUCUACCUGGUUAGAUCUAUCCUCCAAGGCAAGCAGCCAUAAUAAAACAGCCUAUUCAAUGAUAUUUUCAGCAGCAGGAACAUUAAUUGUGUUCUAACCAUCUGACCAAAAAGCUUCCAUAAUCUGAUUCUCACAAUAUUGCUAAGUAUUCCAAUAUUAGACUGCUUUGGGGGAAAAACAAAACCAGACCUCUGCCUGCCCUUUGAUUUCCAGGCUCAAGAUUUAUACACAUUCUUGUUCGUUGGGUGUGGGGGGAGCAACUAAACUUAAGCUGGUUAGUGGAAGUGGAUAUUUGAAGGGGCUAAAUACUUUGGAUAUUAUGUUGGCCGCCUUUAAGCUUUUAAAAAUCUGUGUAUCUGGCACCAUCUAUAGAGGCUCUUCAAAUCAAUGUCAAGCAUGUCAGUCAGUGAGCAAUGAAAUAAGGUGAGGAAUAAUAUAUGUCCUCUAAAAUGACUUUUUUCAUCAGAGGAAGUGCAGUACUUCAGCACUCGAUAAACAAAAUGUAGUUUAUUGAUAGCAAAUUAAGAUAUAGCCAUUGAACUGAUGAUAACAAACCAAAAUGGCUUGUAAAUAAAAGCCGGCUAUGUAAAAAAAACACACCACAAAAAAAGCCUGCUAAGUUUAGCAGCUGGAGUCAGCUGAAAGUUCCUGCUUGUCAUCCAUUUCUUCUCUAUACAUCCUUUUAUUUCUCUCCCUCCCCCCUAAUCAGUAUUUGUAGGUCAGAAAGCAGAUAGUUAAUGUGUUAAAGUUUAACAUGAACCAUUUUUGUGACUGGACAAUUUCAAGUGCCCUUGUUUUUCUCUGGAGACAUACCAAAAAAUUCACUGUGCAAUUCCUUUGGGGAUUGCAAAUUUUAAUCAGAAUGACAGAACCACACAAUACUUUCCACUCAAGUGAGUUACCUCCCCUAAUGUGUUUCUAGUGUAUCAUAUCUGUAUUCAGACUUAUUUUUACUAGGCUAACUGCACACAAUUAUUUCAAAUGUGAGCUUUUUGUGUGUAUCUAGAUGAACCAUUAAGAAGUAAAAAUAUUGGAAUAGGGGUGGCAUUGUAUUCUGUCAACUGAAAGAUUGGCUUUAUGUUUUUGUAUAGUUUGAUGCUUGCUUCAUGGUCUUAUUGGCUGGUAACAUUAAUGGCCAUAACUCAACAAAAGAAACAGCAUUUUUCCUAAACAGUCAGCAGAUGUAUAUGUGGUCAAGGGGUGCGGGGUGGGAAUUAGUAGAAAUAUUGUGCCAUUUACUAAAUUGAUUCCACUAUAGUCACUAAAAUUUUUGGAAUAGAUUUAUAAAUAUGUCGCUGAGUAUAUUGUUUACAAACUCGCUGGAUACCAACAUGGCACCUUACCUUAGUAGAUUAAAAGUGUCAACUAAAACUGAAGUGUGCAAGGCAUGUUUUGACCACAAAGGUCAAUUUUGUCUGCAUAAGUGAACACUCUUAUUCAAAAAUGCACUAGACCAGACUUUUCCUGUGAUUUGUAUAUCCACUUAGUACUUCCAAAAAAACCAAAACAUAGCUCCUCAAGCAACCAAUGUUCUGCUUAUUGUACUCUGAACAAAUAUGGGUUUAGCUACAAAUAAUCACAUACAGGCUUCAAGAAGUGCCAGAUAGCUUUUCCUGAGUUAGGAAGUCAGCUUGGUUGCAGGCUGAAAUAAACCCAUGGGUAUCACUAGCAUUAGACAAGGGAGACAAUUGUCUGGGGGACCACACUGCCUCAAGGGGCCCCCAGAUGCACGUCACAUGACUCCCCAACCUGCCUGCACCCCCUAUUAAUUAAUAUUGAGUCUCUUGCAGAUCAGCACUUCGACAGUAGCAGAGAGUUAAGAAAGAGUUAACUUUUCUCCUGGCCAUAUUGGUUCUAUUGGUGUCUUGUGCUCCUUCCCUGCUUGGAAUUUGUAUGGAACUUCAGAGCCCAGGAAGCCGGCUGUUGGCUUGUUGGUCUCCCUCCAAGAAUGAAAGUAAGAAGACAUUUUGUAAAAAUCAACCCUUUGCUGUUUGGUUUUUGUGUGAUUUGUCCUCCUUGGUCAAGCUAACAUGUUGCUCAAUCUCUCCCCCCACCCCCAUGAACCUUGUGUGUGUUGUACAUGUGAGAGAAGUCCCAUCCUCUGUGUGUGUGUAUGUGUGUGUGUGUUUGAGAGAGAGAAUUCUUAAGCUUUAAAAAAAAAAAACAUUUUAAGUAUGCCAAAAGUAUUCUAGUGCAAACUUGUAAGAAAAACGCUGCCCAUCCCAACAUUAGACCUUGUUUUGACGAAAUUAGUUAGUGCAAAAGUAUUAAAAGCUUUGAAAAGAAUGGGGUGGGGGUGGGAUGCUCUGACAAAAUGGAUGUUUGGGGGUUCCCCCCCCCCUUCUUAUUCCUGAAGUUACACUGCUUAUAGCUCUAAACUGGUCUCUCUCUGUGUUGCUUUUUCUCCCCCCGCCCUUAUUAAAAAUAUUUAUAUGCUGCUUUUUUAGCAACAGAGUUCUCACAAUGGCUUAAAUAGCAAAAUAUAAGAAAAUGGUUCUCUUAACAUGUUUCCCCUUUUAAGCAUUACUAUCUAUAAAUUUAAUUCCCUUAGGUAGCAUGUGUGCCCAGGAUUUGGCGGCAGAAUUCUUGUGACACGUUGUGAGAGUUCCGCUGCCAAAGGGCCAGAGUUGCAGGCAGAAAAAAUGGCAGGGGGCGGUAGUGGCGGCCCACAAAAUGGCCUGAGGUAGCAGGCUUGGCUGGCCGCCAGGAGGCGGUGGGAUGACCUGGCUAGGUCAGGCCAUCCCAGGUAAGGACAAGGAGGCAGUGGUGGCCCAGCCUGGCCUGGCUGCUGGGAGUAGGAGCGGGA
Molecule: long non-coding RNA, 3447 nt
Organism: Hemicordylus capensis (graceful crag lizard)
Lineage: Eukaryota; Metazoa; Chordata; Lepidosauria; Squamata; Cordylidae
Exons: 4
Source: RefSeq, a predicted model, not a curated record